RNAcentral lists this transfer RNA (76 nucleotides) under Gemmata obscuriglobus. Its description in RNAcentral is "tRNA-Arg". The record is from RNAcentral. Lineage: Bacteria; Pseudomonadati; Planctomycetota; Planctomycetia; Gemmatales; Gemmataceae.
GAGGGGGCUGGGGGGUGGGUUGCCCCGCGCGCGCCUCUCGCGCUGGGACCAGCGUUCUCGGCGCCACCCCCUUCCC